RNAcentral lists this ribosomal RNA (658 nucleotides) under Klebsiella sp. RNAcentral's name for it is "bacterial SSU rRNA". It matches the Rfam family "Bacterial small subunit ribosomal RNA", at positions 56 to 705 of the family's 1533-position model. Lineage: Bacteria; Pseudomonadati; Pseudomonadota; Gammaproteobacteria; Enterobacterales; Enterobacteriaceae. The record is from RNAcentral.
UGCAAGUCGAGCGGUAGCACAGAGAGCUUGCUCUCGGGUGACGAGCGGCGGACGGGUGAGUAAUGUCUGGGAAACUGCCUGAUGGAGGGGGAUAACUACUGGAAACGGUAGCUAAUACCGCAUAACGUCGCAAGACCAAAGUGGGGGACCUUCGGGCCUCAUGCCAUCAGAUGUGCCCAGAUGGGAUUAGCUAGUAGGUGGGGUAACGGCUCACCUAGGCGACGAUCCCUAGCUGGUCUGAGAGGAUGACCAGCCACACUGGAACUGAGACACGGUCCAGACUCCUACGGGAGGCAGCAGUGGGGAAUAUUGCACAAUGGGCGCAAGCCUGAUGCAGCCAUGCCGCGUGUGUGAAGAAGGCCUUCGGGUUGUAAAGCACUUUCAGCGGGGAGGAAGGCGUUGAGGUUAAUAACCUUGUCGAUUGACGUUACCCGCAGAAGAAGCACCGGCUAACUCCGUGCCAGCAGCCGCGGUAAUACGGAGGGUGCAAGCGUUAAUCGGAAUUACUGGGCGUAAAGCGCACGCAGGCGGUCUGUCAAGUCGGAUGUGAAAUCCCCGGGCUCAACCUGGGAACUGCAUUCGAAACUGGCAGGCUAGAGUCUUGUAGAGGGGGGUAGAAUUCCAGGUGUAGCGGUGAAAUGCGUAGAGAUCUGGAGGA